AACCUUAACUAUGUGAGAGGGUACCUUCCCCUCCAGAGGCCGGAGCCAAAGCUCCUGACCCUUUCUGGGGAGCCCGGUCAGCUCCGCACCCCACAGUACAGUCCCUCCUUCAGGAAGAGGAGGGGCUGUUGGUCUUAGGGGAGUGACCCUAAGGUAAAAGCACGCGGGGUUAGUGUGACCUGCUCACCCACUUUUUCCAUGGCCCCAUGUUUCCCCUUUUUAGCCAGGGAGGGAUGCCUAAGUGGAUAAAAGUAGAAAACAAUUUAGAGGACAUGAAAUAAUGGAUGUCAUUGAUGAAGAAAAGAGGUAACAAAACUAGAACUAUUUGCCUGUGUGUUCUGGGGUUUUUUUUUUGAAAGCUUGGAGAAAUGGUCCUGUCCAACCAGGUCUAUCUAAAACCUUCACAGUUACAGCCGUCCCGAGGCGAAGAGGCACGGAGGGCUCAGGAGGGCCAGCCUCUCCCAACCGUCUCUGGUGAAAUCUGCCACACCCGGGAAGACAUGCUUCGUGGAAGGGUGGAGGCUGGGAAAAAUUCUUUCUUUGUACCCCAGGUGCUCUGAACAGCCUGUUCUAACCUUGUGAAAAUGACCGACACCCCUGCUAUUGUGUGAUAAGGCUGCACAAACACUGCCUGACGAGGGUCAGUGCCGGAGCCGCUUACUAAUAGGAGGCAGCCGGGGACACUGCAGCCCGGUGACAUCUGCGGAGAGUUGAACUCUCCCUUCAGCAAUUAGUGCUGACUCACCUCAUGCAACUUUCCAAAGAGCCAACUUUAAAAAUAAAAAAAAGCUCCAAACUUUUUAUUAUAGAUAACCAAAAAGAUACAAAAGUAGAAUCAUGUAACGGACCCCCCCAUAUACCUAUCAUCGCUCAGCUUCAACAAUUAGGAACCCCAAACCAACACUAAGCCAUUUUAAAGGAACCAAAUGAAUGUUUUAAAAUAUAUGCAUAAGGAGAUUGCACAAUGAAAUAGCAUAAAGACCCAGGAAAAGCAGACGGCAAGUAUGUUCUCUCAAGCAGUGCUUUGGAGUUAGAGUUUUCGAGCAUCAUAGUAGCACAGCCAUUGGAAUAUGGAUAUUAGAAUCCCAGCCCUGGUACACUUGGCCUUGGGUAAGAUCGGUAACCUCACUAGGCCUCAUGUCCUUCACCUCUUAAAAUGCAGCAGUAAUAACCUCUUACAGGCUUAAAGUGAGAUCUAAACAGGGUACAUAAAAAAUAAGCUCUCGGGAAGUGGGUGGCUGCUAUUAUUACAGGCCUUGCUGUUGUGGCUGUUAUAGUCCUACCCCAGAGCCAGCGGUAUGUGAGCACACGAGUAGUGUUUCUCAGGAAUGGGGCACAUGCCAGUGCUCGGGCAGAGAGAACUUCCUCUGGAAACUUCCUCACUUAGGGUAUAAUAUAGAGACCCUUGGGCUAUGUAAUGGGCGAGGGAAAUUUUAAUUUGUCGGGUUGGCUCCCUUAGUGGAAAGGUUAUCAGUGAUCUCACAGUAACUUGUAAUUGGAUUUACUGGCUACCUAUCAGGGGAAAGCUAGUUUCUACCAAGAAACCAUUAAACACCUAGUUGAGAAAGGGUCUCUGUGGCUUUCCACACAGCGUCUCGUUCUUUGCCAUGUCAUUUUCUAGGUUUUUGUCUGUUGUGCACAAUUACUGCGUUAUCUCUAGUUCACCUUUGAUUUUCAUCGCUUCCUCCUUUUCCACCUCUUGCUGUGUUUUGUCUCCUGUGUCUCAACAGGAGACCUCUGAGGCUUUUAUGUAUCAGGAGGGGCAAGUAGAUGGAAGAAAUAGAUCAUCCAUGGAGAAAAACUCUACUGGAUAAAAUAAAUAAGUGCGGCCUGACUUGGGGAGUGGAAAGCACACUCCCAUUUUGCUGGCGUGUUUUUCUUUUCUGCAAGCUGAUGGCUUGGUGGGAAAGGGAAGCCAACCAGAAGAACCUGAUCGAAUUACUUUCGUGCAGCAGGCUGUGUGGGAGAAGGUUGGAGUCUGGUUUUUGUGCCUCACUGUUGGCCAGACACUGUAAUUUUAAACUGUGAGAGUGGGCAGUCACUGUGACAGGCCAAGGCUCUUGCGUUCUGUCUGGUCAGGAAUCUGAUCGGGUUGAUCCACUAAGGUCCUUUUGAGGCAUCAGCAGUUAAUUUCUGAACAAAUAAUGACCUGCCCCUGGGAUAGUGAAAUAGUAGUUAGAAUGGCUGCUGUUUACUGAGCAUUAUGUGCCAUACAGCAAGCUCACUGAACACAGUCUCAAUUUCCCAGAAUAACCCCAUGAUAUGGGUGGUGGCAUUUCCAUUUUGCAAAGGAGAGAGAAUUAAGAUUGUAUAGUUUUAGUAAUUUUUCCACAAUCAAAUAGUAAAUGACAAAGUUGGAAUUUGAAUUAACAUCAAAUUAACAUCUUCAUUGACUAGAGUCUGAUCUUGACGACUCCUAUAUUUUGCUUUGCCCACCAUCCUCAGCCCAGACACUAUGAUCUGUAAUUAUAUUUGGAGUUGUAUUUACCAUAAUGGUAAUGGAUUGUUUUAAUUUAUUGAGAUUAUUUAGGCCUAGGUUAUAGGCAGAGAUUGGCAUAGAAUUGAGUGGAAUUUAGUCACCAUUUAUGCAGACUUGGGUCUUCUUUUGUGUCUGAUUGUGGAGCUCAUGCUAUAAUGCACAUGCCUCCAACCCUCCCCCGAGUCCCCUUGCACUCCAUAUCCCAUUUUCCUAUGGUAAAUGCUACGAGAAUGUUCGUAGGAUAUUUGUUCUACCAUCUCAAACUGCAUGUACAUCUCAAGACACUUGGCAGAUAAAUUAUUUGGUUUGUGGGCGGCCAGAAAAAAUUGAUAAUGUUUUUUUAACACGGACUGGAGUGACAGUUUGGUAACCGGCUCUCUGAGAGAGCUUUCAUGUGUUCAAAAAAUUGGCAGCUAGCUCUCGAGUGAGCUAAUUAGUUAGGAACGAUUUUCAUCCUCAGUACCUUGAAUAGCCUACCCUUGGAGACAAGACAGAUAAUGAGCACCUGGAAAUCAGUAGUGCUGCAACUUGACCUUAAUGUAGUUUGGGGGAAAUAAGAAGGGUGAGUCAUGAUCUGUUAUUGAAGAUCAUUCUUUUAAAAGGCGUUGUGAAGGAUUUGACAAAUAAUGAUUGCUCCUGUAUAGGAACUAUCGUAAUCAAAGAAGCAGAAAACAGGAAAGAAAACUUAAUGUGACUAAGCAGUGUUUAAUUUGUUUGAAACUGGCUCUACCACCCUGGUUGUAGAGAGAGAAUGCUUUAUGCAGUCUUCACAGAGCAAGAAGUCCAGCUUGCACCAGGGCGUAAUAGAGACACCCAUGCCUGAUACCACGGAAAUGGAGUCCACCAAUGCUUCUCUUUAUGUGCUUUCUCAAGGUAAGUCAUCAGUGAGGCUUUACUGCUUGCAAAAAGCUGUCCAACAGCCCUGUGGCACAGCACUCAUUGAGCAACUAAAGGCAAUGGGCUCUCCAGGGGCACAGUUUGUUCCUGUCUAGCCCCCAAGGGUCCCGUGUUCCCGUUCAGGCACCAGCGGCUGCUUCCUGCCCUUCCUCACCUGUAGGUGUGAGGGCUUGUUUAUUUAAACCUCAGCCCUUGCUGCUUGGAAAAACAAAACAACACACUUACUUGUCUGGGCAUUGAAUGUUCUUCCUGAAUUUUUGUCCUGCCCAUGGGCCUGGAGGCAUAAUGGGUGGAGCGAGUUUCGGCAUUCGUUUGGGAAGUUUCGAGAAGGGCUGUGGGCUGGGUUUGUUAGGUUGGGUUGCUCUUGAUUUUAAUAAUUUGUUAGAAUGUCUGAGGGUCAAGGAGCAGUGCUGUAGAUGGCUAUGGGAAUUGCUAUGAUCUGGCUGUGCCUCUCUCUCACAUGAGGACAGAUGCACCUGAGGAGGCAUUUUAUAGGGUCCUGACAGAUGUUAAGUAACCCCAUCCAUAUUGUGUUCUCACCUGGACACUGUAAGAUGCGCACUGUAAAAAAAAAAAAAAAGAAAAGGUUAGAUGAGAUGCCUGCUUGAUACUGACUUCUCCACAUCAGUGGCUGCCAGUCUUCAUCUCCUGCUUUCUGAUUCCCGGGCUGCUGUGUUGAUGUCCACCCCCAGAGUAAAGAACGCUGGACCUCUUUGCUUCUUUUCUAAGAUACUUCCUUGUGAUGCUCUAAACUCUUCCUGGCCCCGGCGUCACCUGGGGCUGACGUCAAGUACACUACGUGUAGGAUGACCUCAGUGAGCAAGUCACUCACCUGGCCCUGUCUUUCCUCCCAGUAUGUGGGUGUUGCCAUGGUAUCUUUAAGAAGCACUUUCCUGUCUUUGGAGCUGUUAAUGAACUUUUAUAUUCUCAGUACCAGGCAGGGAGUGGAGAUGGGCAAGAAUAUCAUUUCACUACUUGAAUUAAUCCACAGGAAUUAGCAUGUUGGCGAACUCUUGGCUACUGGAGUCAGCAGCAGUGGCGAAAGAAAUCCCUGGAAGGUUUUCAUGAGCAGUGGAAGAAGCUACACACGAAGGGAAGAUUUUGGCAGUGGCCAACGGGAAGAGGAUGAUUUCUCUGAUUUCUGCUUCCAGCAGUUUUGGCUUAGGUUCCAGCGAUAUCUCUGGAGACACUCAAGUUACUUACAUCCCUCAAGUGACAAGCAAAUAUAGCAAUCCUUAAACGUAAAGCAAUCCUUUCAGAACUAUGUUGCCAUCUUGCCACUAGAAGCAUCCUCGUAGAUGGUAAACAGCCUCAUUGGGUAUUUGUGUAAAAAUGUAAUGUGUGCAUGUAUAUGCACACACAUGUGUGCACUGUGAUGUGUGAGUGUAAAUACACAGUGUAUAGGUUGCAAUUGAUUUCUCUAAAUACCCACAUAUUUGGAAACUACUUAUUUUUUUCAGUCUCCAAAAAUGAAAUUGUCUUAGUCUGAUAGUGUAAUAUGGAGAAGUUUAUCUUGCAUUCUCUCUUAAGGGAGGUUAUUGGAGUUUUGUCUUCACUUAUACACAAAGUGCAACGCAUCUUUAUCACUUUGCAAGCAUCUGUCUAAUUUGGAGAUGGCAAGGGCAGAACUGUCUCAGGAGACAGUGGCUGUCUUUGUCUGAGGUCUGUUACUGACUGGCUGAGUGUCCCGAGGUAAGUGGCUUAAUUGCUCUGGAUUUCAGCCUCUAAAUUGCUGAGACUUAGAUCCAUAUGGUAUCUAAGUCAUCUUUGUCACCCUUAAGUUUCAUAAGUCAUUACUGAAUCUGGAGGAAACAGGAUCUUUCUUGCAAGGGUUUCAAAUUCUAGAAUUGCCAAUUAUUUGGAGGAGCAAUAUAUAUAUAUAUAUAUAUAUAUAUAUAUAUUUAAACAGAGACCAUCAUUACAUUAAUGAGUUUCAUAAAAAUUGAGUAAUCUGUGCAUGGGCUGAUUUGCGUGGUUGCUUCAUAUCUGUUGUGGUUAUUUUCUCUUCUUUCAUAGGGAAUAAGCUCUUGUCAUAAGUUUUUAGGUCUCUUAGAAAAAUACUGACUUAACCACAAGGAAGAGAAUAAAGGAGAGAAUAACUGUAAUUACAUCUUUAUUAAGUUCUUAGUGACCAGAAAUGAGAGAGGGAGAGAGAGGAAAAGUGAGAGGGACCAUUUUUACUGCUGGAAUGAAACUAAAUUUUUUUGUUGAUUUUAUAAUUUAAAAAAAAAAAAGACCUUUUCAAGUUUUCUUGUGAGUGGAGUUUUUACAGUUACUUGAAGGAUUUGAACUGAAACAUAAUUACCCACUGUGGAAAAGGUUAAUUUAUAUGGAACAGAAACUGAAGAAAUCAAGGAAGAGAGGAAUGCAUGGAUAGGAGAUUCAAGGAGAGGUGGGAGCUAUUGGUUGGUUUUAAAAAUGAUAAGAAUUUUAAUAUCAAUCAGAUCUUGUAUAUUAUAAUGAAGCUGGCUGGAGGUUUUGGGACAAGCCGUAUUAUACUUUUCCAUUAGUUUAAGAUUUUAUAAGCUUUUUGGAAAACAGUUUGAUAGUAUGCAUCAAUAACUUAAAAAGUUCAUCACAUUUGACCUAAUAAUUCUACUUCUGGAAAUCUAAGGAAAAAUCGUUAAGAAAAUGGAGAAAGAUUUAUGUUCAAAAGAUGUUUAUUGUUAGUCUAUUUUGAAUAUCAACCAGUCCCGUGAUGGUUUUCUUCCUUCCCUGGCUGGAUUCUACCAUCUUGUAUUUCAGUCAUUCCCUUGCAAAUACCUUCAUUCCUCCUGUCUGCCUGUCUCCCGUCUCACGCGUCUGGUUAACCCCGACACUGAACGAACCCAGCUUUCUCUUUACUCGCUAUCUGUGCCUAGCCUUGCUGGUGAGAGUGACAAUUAGGCAGAAUAGUAGCCCUACACACUGAUGAUUACCAACCCCAAUACUAUUAGAGUGCUUGAUCUCUUUGCCAAAUACAGUUUCUAUUCCUCUUGGCAAACCUAAGGGCCAACAUUCAUUUUUUUUUUUUUCAUGAAACACCCUGAACCUUCCUUUGGUUUCUGGGCCUCAUGGUUUCUUUGUUUCCUCCUGCCUCUCUGGUGUUGGCAUCUCCUUCUCUGUGACAUGUAGGCUUCCACUUCUUUAGACCUCAGCCUUUGGGCUUUCCUCUCAGUGACUGUAAAUGUGAAGCCUCUUGGCUUCAAAUGCAGCCUGUAUAAUGCUGACAAACCAAAUGUGUACCUCCAGCCCCACCCUCUCUCCAGAGCCUCAACUACCAGUAUUCAAAUACCUACCUGACAAAGCCACUUGGCAGGUCGCUAGCAUCACAGACUCUUGACGUCCACUUCCCACCUGCUUCCUUUUUAAGGAACUGCCAUUCUGCAUAAAGAAAAUUACUUCCUUAGUAUUUUGGUAAAUUUCCUUCUAGGUAAAUUAUAGCUAUUUGCAUAGCUAUAAUUUAAUAUAUGCAUAAUAUUUAUAUGUAAUAUAUUUAUUAUUUAAUAAUUUAUAAUAUAAUAAAAACACAAGUGUUAGAAAAUAAAACCAAACUACUUAGCCAGAAAAUCUGAGAACUUUCUUAUCCAAAUCCAUGGCAUGGGUUUUUUUGUAGAGUUCGUUAGGCUUCUAGUUUAAUAAGUGCAAAUGUUAGAAAAUACAGAACAGGGAACACUAUUUUUUAAGAGCUAAUAGUGUACCUAGUGGUAAUUUGAAUAUCAUUUUUAAAGAGUAAGAACCCUUGCCAGUUUCCAAGGCUUUUACAUCUAACUAUCAUUUAGACAAACAGAAAGCACACCACAUGUGAAAAUGGUUAUUUCUCAGCAGAAUAGAUUCACAGAUAUUCCCAUUUGCAGAAAUUCACCAGGGGUCAGAAGCAUUAGCACAGACAUUCCACUUAUGUAUAUAUAUAUUUAAAACAUCCUAAGGCUUACAGGAAAAAUAGCUGCCUCUAUUUCGUGUGGUUGUCCUAAGGGAAAAGUAGUGCUGAUAUGUGAACAUUAACAACAUAGAUUCACUUAAAAAAAGUAGAUCAGCUGGAAAUUGUGAGCCCAAAACAAUUUUCUAGCUCAGUGGUUCUCAGCUUUUCAGAGUAGGAGGAGACCUUUUUAACAUCUAAAAAGAGUUACAAUCAUCUCCUUCCUGAAAAACAAAGCAAAAAUAAACAAAACCUCCCCCAAAACCAUGGUAGCCCUUAUGUUUUCAUUCCUUUCAACUGAAUAAAGUGACAAAGUGACAAAGAAAUUACCGUAAACUUGGUAAUUCUUUAAGAAAGUUUUGUAUCCCUUUUUCUCCUUUCCCUUGAUUUUCUUCUGUAUCCAAAAUCACUUUUUAGUUACAUAUAUGUUUUGAUAUGUCCCUCAAUUUCUCUGUUGGAAAAAUGACUCAAUUCUUUAGUAUAGGUACUAAACAAGAAAAUUAGUGUUUUUUUAUUGGUCAUUUUUAAAAAUUAUGAAUAGUGUAUAUUUAAACUAUUAAAAGCUACAUGUGCACAUAGUUUAAGAAGUCAGACAAUUUUACAGGGCUUGCACUAUAAACAACAGUCCACUGGGCAUCUCCAUCCUUCCGAAUUUCCACCCCUCAGCAACAACCACUUGUAACCAAUUGAGCUGUUUCUUUUGAUAUUUAUUUCCACAUGUCUAUAUAGUAGAUUUAUGUUGUUGCUUCUUUCAAUACCACUUUAUUAUUACUAAACUUUUACAGCUUUAGUCAUAGGUAGUGACUCGUACCCUUGAUUCUCUUUUGACCUACUGUACAUUUACUUCCUGUUUCCUCCCUCCCUCCUAAUGCAGUGAUAGCAGACUUUUGGUUAGAUCAAUAUUUAAUAUUAUUUUGCAUAUAAAAGUGCUGUUUUACAGAUAAGGCAAGUGGCAUACUAUGGUUACUUUUCUGUCUUAUAAAUGUUUGAUUUUCCUUGGAGUUAAUAAUUGCUUGCUUUGUUCUGUUAUGUGCUUGUCACCUUUUCAAUCCCAAACUCUGUCAGCUGUUAAUAUUUAACCAGCCAAAUUAAGUUCUAUCUAGUCAUCUUCUUGAAGGAUCCCCCUGGUGCUUUUCAAUGUGCUCUGAAGUCUCCAAGGUGCUCUCAGGACCUGCCCCAAUUGUUUCCUUAGGAGCUCCCUAUACCUUUUUUUUCUUUUGGUUCCCUUGUCUUCCUUUUUCUUGGUUUACUUCUUUAUUUUGGGGGAGCAUAUCCUUUGGUAGUUUUCUGAAGAAGGUGUACCUGAGAAAAAGUUUUUCAGGCUUACAUCAUCAGAAAACAUUUUUUAUUUCAUUCUUUUAAUCAGUAGUUUGGGUAUAUAAUUCUAGAUUGGAUAUCUUUUUCCCUCAUAAUUUUGACCUCUAGUUUCCAGUGUGUCUGUUGGAUGACCCAAAGCCAUUCUGAUUCUUGACCUUCUGUAAGAAAAGAAACUGUUGAAGCUUUUAGGAUCUCUAUUUUCCUGUUGUUCUAAAUUUCACAAAUUUCAUAUAAGUCUACAGUCAUCUUAUAUAUUAGGACUUUGUGGAUGUUUCAAUGUGAAAACUAAUUUCCUUCAAUUAUAGGGAAUUUCAAAAAUUAUUAUCUUGAUUAUUUAAUCUCUUUUUCUGUGUUCUCUCUUUCUGGAUUUUCUAUUAUUUGGGUAUUUGACCUGGACUUCUCUAAUUUGUUUUUGUUUUUAUUUUUUUCAUUUCUAUGUCCCAUCUUUUGUCUUUUGUUUACUUUUUUCUUUCCUCUACUAAGUCUUUCAUUUCCAUUAUCAGAGUUUUGAUUUCUCAGAGCUCCUUUUUGUUCUCUGAAUAUUUUUUAUAAUGUCCUAUUCUUACUUUACAGAUGCAAUAUGUGUUUUUUGUAUUUUUGAAGAUAUUAAUGAUAUUUUCUGAAGAUUUUUAUGUCUUCCUGCAUUGUAUCUGUCUCCUAUUAGUUACUUUCUUCUUGUUUUUUGCUCUAGUCUCUGCCUUUCCCAUGAAAUACUUUUCCUCAAGUGUUUAGUGAUCUUUAUAUGUCUUUUCAUUUUUAAGUGGGACUUUAAAAAGCUGGCCCAAAGCUCUGUGCCUAUAACUAGGGCUGAUUGCCAUGGUCUGUCCUGUAAGGCCGUAUGGUCAUGUCAGUAUUUUUAGAAUAUUUAUCUUGGGCUUGUAUAAAUUUCCAGAGUAGUUACCUCUAAUUUUCUUCCUGGGAUGUCUGUACCCAGUUUCUGGACUCCUGGAGGGGGCAUCUCAAAUUCUGUAUAAAUUUUCACAUUAAGCAAUUCUACCUAUAUGGUUAUGUAACAUAAUUUUUCUUAGGUUCUUUAAAUAUACGGAAAAAAACUGCAAGCUCUGGGGGAAAUUUUAUAAUCACCCUGCAAAAGCAGGAGGGACUCACACUCGAAGUUUGGUUUGGAUGUUGAGACUAAUGAUGCCAUACACAUACCAAAAGAUAUGAAAAUGUUUGUUACUUACAUAGAAAGGGAUUUCUGGGAGAGAGCAGGACAGGUCUCCAACGAAAGGCCAAAAUGCCUUGAGAUAGUGAGAAGGGAGGCUGGCAUGGGUUGUAUUGUGGUUGGGAGUUAGGCUGGGUUGGGAGUUUAUGUGAAAAGAGGCUUACGUGCUUUGAAUCGCCCACUUAUGCCAAAGCAGGGAGCAUCCAAUCUUUCUUAUCAACUUGCUCAGAGGCUGGCACAGGGGAACGGGAUGGGGUGAGGUGUGUGAGCUGCCCACAGUCAAACAUUAUUAGAUGGAGUCAGAAUUCUCCUCCCAGAAAUACUGUGAGUAGAGGGCAGAACAAAUCUUUUAAGGAUGGCUGCCAUUUACAGAAAAUGGUACAAGAGGAGAUUGUCUUACCAGAUCCAUGAUAGAGAACAAACUUUAAUUUAAAAGUUCAGGUCUGCCUUUGUGUGACUAGUGAUGAGGCCAGGAGUCCAUAGGUAAUUUGACAGUUAAGAAAACUUGCUUUAAAGACUUGUUAUAAAACAGUGAUUUUCAAAGUGUGGUGGAUUACCACCAGCAGUAGCAUCUCCUGGGGAUUAGUCACAAAUGAGGAUCCUCAGCACCCAUCUCAGACCCGCUGAAUCUGACACUCUGGGGAGGCCCUGCCCUGCAGUCUCUGUUUUAACAGGCCCUCCAGGUGAUGCUAACAAGCCGUGCAAUUUGAGAACCACAGAUGCAGAGUACACAAGUUAAGACAAGUCUGGGAAGGAGCUGGAGAACUAAAUGCACAGCAUAAUGAAGAAAUAGGACAUUUUAAUUUUCUACUGGCAGGUGGGAAAAACAGGUCACUGUCCUUGAGGAUAGCGGGCAGAGGGGAAGUUUCUGCAGAGCAGGGAGGUGCCCAGUCACCUGGCAGAAGGCGAGGGUCCGGGGAGAAGAGAGUUGGUGAAAAUUUCCAGGAGGUGGAGAUGACCAAAGAACGCUUAAGGAUGGUGAUGUGUGAUAGUCUGUUGUAGGUUUUCUAUACUGUAAUAAUCCUCCCUCAGUCACAGGUCUUCAGGAGUCAGUUACACACAACCAGCUUGUAUGGUGCAGUGGAAAAUGAAGGAAAAAAUCCACCAUUACUCUGUGUAGAGAGAGUACAUAUUUUUUAUUUUUCCUUAGCUGUGUAGUCAGUAUUCACUGACUGACGGGCUAAAUAAAUGAAGUGUCUAAGCAUUUUUAGAAUUUAUGGUGAGGAUUUAAGCAUAAGGUUUUUUAGAAAGAAGUGGUUUCCUGCUUUAGGCAUCUUACAUAUUAAAAAUAUAGAUGAAAAAUAAUUGGCAUGCAUUUGCUUUUUCUCUUUAAAAGUGCUAUGUAAAUUCCUCCUAAAUAGAAUAAACCUAUAUCUAUAUAAAUUCUAGUAUCUACAUUUCCUUGAAAAUUGUUAAAAUGAAGCUUUAUUAUACCUGUAGACAGAAGCUUCUAGAAUACUUUCUUCCCAUACUUUAAAAAAAGUUAAACUUUCUUGUUAGGGAACACUGGAAAAUAAAAAUAAUGCAAAAAGGAUGACUAAAGUUAUCCACAGUAACACAUCUAGAGAUGAGUAGAAUCAUGGAGAAUUUUAGAACUGGAACAGACCCGCUGUCACAUACCACUAAGUUACAGGACUUCCCGCUCUCUGGACUUGUGGCUCAGGGUGGUUCCCUGCCUACAUUUGUUAAUUGAUUUAGACCAAAGCUUCAGCAUCAAUUGUCAUCCUUUAUCAUUGUGAGUACUUUUCCACUGUGGCCAUUGAGGGAGGGAAACAAGGUCAAAACACCUUCCUUUGAAAAAGCCAUACUCUUUCUUCCAAGUCCAAAGUCUUUUUUCUUAGUACCCAUUAAUUCUUCAUGUCCAUUAAUCCUGCUUUGUGGAUCCAUCUGUUCUUGUGGUUUCCAUGAUCCAAGGAUCCCUAAACUAUUUUUCAAGCUCAGAUCUCUUUUCCAUAACAAUUUCACAUCUCCAUCUGCCUUUAUGAGAUUUCUUUUUUGGAUGUUGUUCUGUUACCUUAGAGUCUUUAUGUUCCAAAGGGAAUUCUGGUUCCUUCUUUCCUGCUCCAGAAAAAAAUGUCAGCUCUCCUGAUUUACCUAUUUGUGUCACCAGCACAUCAUUCUUCUUGUCACUCAUGCUGUCGAUCAACUCCUUGUCUCCUCUCUGAUCUGUAACCAAGGCCAAUUCUUUCAUGAAAGCAUCUGUGCUCUUACCAUCUUUAUUUCUUAGCCUCUUGUGCCUACAUCAUUGCAGUAGUCCCAUGCGUGGCUCCCUGCCUUGAGUCUCUCUCCUUCAGGCCUCACUUCCACGGGCUGCAGAAUUAACCUUGCUGAAGACACGGCUCCAUCAUUUUCUUGUUUGGGGCUUCCUAUCAUCAAAAGUUUAAAAUCCACAGCCCUUGUCCUGGUCCCUCGCCCUUCCAUAAUGGGCCAUCCAUCCUUCAGCCUCAUCUUCCAAUGAUAAAAAAAAACAAAACUCUAAAGUUAUCCUAUGUCUGGUCCUCUGAAUUCUCUUCCUCUGUCUCUCAUCUUCCUCUUCAAGCCUUACUUGAGAUGCUAAUAUUUCCUCUCUAAAACCUUUUCUGAUCAGCCUACAGAUACUUCUCCAUUGCUUGGACUUCAGAAGCAUUUCCUGUCCCAAGUAUGUGGCUGCUAACUCUAUAGUAAUAAGGUAGCAGCUGCUUCCUAUUGAGCUGAGCCCCUGCUAUGUGUCCAGCACUGCUCGCAGCUGUUCUUAAAUCAUUUGUUCAUCUCACAAUCGGAUGAAGUAAGUACAGUUGUCAUCUCCAUGUCCCAGGUGAGAAAGCAGGCAUGGAUGGUUUAGUAACUUACCCAAGGUCACGGGAGUAGAACUGGGAUUUGGUCCAAACUGUCUGGCUCCGAAUCUGCUCGUUAGUGUGCCCAUUCCUGCCUUUCAGGGUGUCCUGCCUCUGAUUGCUGCUCCACUCUCUCUGUUUGGGUGUGAACAUUUUUAGAUGUGUUGCCUUCCCAGUUAAAGUGUGUGCCCCAUGGAGGCGGGGCCCGCCGUAUAUAUUCACACUCCAGAGGCCUUGCAGAAGGCUGUGUGCUUCAAUAAAUGUUGAAUAUUUGAGUUGGAUGGUUUAGGGAGCCUUUUUUUUUUUUAUUUCUGAGAUGAUACAGAUAAUGAAAUUCUGCUAAUUUUCAUUAGUUGGGAAGAUAGCCUCAAAAUCAGUCUUGACUAAGUCGUGACCAUAUGAAAGGUAAAAAUCAAGUGGUCAGCCAAUGGGCUCAGUGGAGUCUUUCAUUUUACACAUUUCACAUUUCAAAGUCUGAGAAGUAAUGAGGACUUAUGAGCCUUCCUUCCCCUUCCCUGUUCUUUGUAGGGGGUGGAAAGUGAACUUGGGUAAGGCCUGCGUGUCAGCAAAUAAGAAUUAACCAGGCUUGGCCUACCGGGGGCAGCUGAAUGACCAUCACUGAAAAUGCAAUUACUCCUUUACAAUUUUUUUCUUUCUUUUGAAGCCAAGUUUGAAUUGUGGGAGGAAAGAUUUGAUAAAAUUUUUCCGUGUUCUCAAGGGGCUCUCGCUGGCAGACUGUCCAAGGAGAAUUAGGAGAAUUCCACAGAAAUGCCUGUGUAUCAGGAAGAGGCGAACAGCCAGAGGUAUGACAGAGAAGAUGUGUCUUUUAUCCCACUGCAUAUCACACAUUUAUGUAAAGCUGUGGCAAGACUUGUAGCUUUUGAUUUUCUUCUUUUUCCUAGAAUGAAACAUCUUCAGAAGCUUUUCUUUCAUAAGAGGCAUUCACUUUUAAAAAGCGGAUAUGGGUCUCAAAUUAUGCUAAGUGUUUAAUACAUUUUCUGGUAUGUUUCAAGUACUUUGAAGUGCAAAGAAGUAUUUGUACUUAUUCUGUGAUUAUUUACUGGCCUGCAUAAAAUUUACCUUUUGCAAAGCUCUUGGAGACACACAUACACCUUUAAAGAAAUAAAUGAUCACUUACUUUGGAUUAUGAACUUGACUUACUGGGCACACUGUUGGGUGUGAAAAAGAACACAGGCCUGGUUCCUGCCCUGGGGGCAUUUACCCUCUAGUUAUGAAGGCCAGAUUGGGGCUGAGGCCUACCUCCUUCAGCUGCACACCUUUCAGACAACACAGCUCCCUUGAUACUAAUCAGCCUUUGUUUAUGCUCUGUUGAGGCUAGGUUUUAUUCCCACAGUCUUUUAUCUAUCUUGACCUGGGCGGUAAUUGCCCCCAAGGCUACCAGUUGUGGUUUGCAAAUCAUGCCCUCGACACUUUGUGAGGUUGCACAGUACCCAGCCUACACAUAGCUCAUGACGGCCCUGAUCACUGUGUCCAGACAAAUGUUGCAGGUUGUCAAUCUUAUCUCGUCUAUGUUGGUAUCACUGGCUUCAUGCUCAGAAUUCUAGAGGUUACCUAACUUUCAUCCCCAUGUACUAUUCCUGUAAGAUCCAUGUUAAGGAAAAACAAAAAGAAUUAAUUUUUAGUACAAGAUAGUAAUAAAUUACAGAUUAGAUGAUAUGGAAAAUGUAUUCUCAGUCUUCAGAGGUUGAGCCAUUAUAGUGGAAACACAUUCUAAAAGUAAGAACAUUUGGCUUCUACUACUGGUUCAGUUACUUGUUAAUAUUAUGACCCUCAGUGGAUAAUUUAACUUCUUGGGAGACUGUAAGAAGGGGAAAUAACACCUGGCUUCUCUGCUUCCCUGGGUGGUGAGGAAGGUUACAGAGUAUCCAAGACAGUAGGUGGUAACACGUGUGUAAGGCCCAGUCUUCAUCAUGAACAAAGUGUUGUAGUGCUCUGGGAAGAGAGUCCUGAGCUGGGAGUGAAUUUGGAAUUUUCUUGUACAUUAGGUUGAAGGCAGGAGCCAGAUUUUGUAACCUUCUUAACCUCAAGCACUUAACACACAGUUAUGAACUCCAUGCUUUUGAAGUGAAUGAAAAAAAUGAGAUGAAACUCACAAAUCUAGAGAAAAAUGGACCAUAAAUUGAUUUAAGCUCUCAAAUUUUCCAAAUCAACAAAUAUGUUCUUAAAAUGCUUAAGAUGUAUUUAUACAUUUAUAUCUUAAAAUGUGCCAGGCAUAAAGAUAGGCACUGAAUAGACAGCGAUGAACAUAGUGGUCUUUGCCUUUAGGGAGCGUAAUGCGAUGUGGGGGCAGGAAGACUUUGAAAAUGUGAUUCAAAAAUGUGUUGAGUAUUAUAAGGAGAUAUCUAGGUGCAUAACUAAGAGUCUGACAAUUGCUAUUUUAAGACAAUUUAAAUAUGUUAAAAUACAUAUUCACAAAACUUAGCUCUAAAAGGAGUUUGUAGAUCAAAAAUUGGCAGUUGGUUUGAUAUGCCAGAUUCUUCUUAUCUUCUAUAUAAGAGACUUAGGUAUAGAUUCUUUGAGAGUGUAUUUAAAGAGGCCUAGUGCAUGGUAUACAAAGGACAGAUUUUCCCAGAGAACAUCUAGAGGCAUGAUACACUUAAACUUAUUUUUGAAUAAUAUCUUAAAGCAUUUAUUGAACAUUUGCUAAGUGCAAGGAGAUACCAGACCCUGACUUCAGAAAUGCCCUGUAUAUGGUAUGGUCUGCUAGACACAUGGAGCUAUUAUGUAUUUGAAAAACAGCAAGUCCAAAUUGAUAUGCACUAUAAAUGUAAAACAUACUCUGGAUUUUGAAGACUUAAUAGGAAAAAAAAAAAGAAUGGAAAAUAUCUUAUUAGUAAUUUUUUAUACUGAUUACAUGUUGAAAUACUAUUUUGGAUACAUUAAAUAUAAGAUAAAUUUUGUCUGUUUCUUUUAACUUUUUACUAUGUGGCUACUAGAAAAUUUAAAAAUAUGUGUGUGACACAUUUGUGUCUUAUGUUGUUUCUACUGGCAGUGCUUGUUUAAAAGUUAGUACAACAGGGAAGCAAAUCAUUAGAAGUUGAGGGGACAAGUGUUCUAAGGGGCUUGAGUAUGAAGUGGAGAUGAGGGAGGUUAGGGAGCAGCCAUGUUGAUGGUGCUCAGGAAGGUAUUCAGGGGAAGGGAAGGCAGACCAGGAAGAGAGAGUCGCUUGCAUAAGGCAGAGAAACUGGUGACUUUACAGAAGCAUCUACCUUUAAGGGGGAAAGAGAUGAAGAGGUUAGCUGAAGCAGCAAGAAACCAUAAACACUGCUUUCAUAGUUUCCCAUGAUAUAAUUAAUAUGUACAUAACCUUUUCAAUAACUUAUAUUUGUCUUGCAAUCUGAAUGAGGAGUAUUUUUCUUACAAAAAUUAUGCAAAUGUCAUAACUAUUAUCUCAGGUACCACUAGGUGGCACUGUGCCCUAGGAUUGAAAAGCAGGCUGGGGGUGUGGGGAGGAAGUGGCAAUUUCUUUGCUCCUCAGUGGCCUCAAUUUUUCAAAAUAGUACUUCUAUCAUCUCUGAGCAUACAAACCCAAUAUGUAUGUCUGUUUAUUAUAAUUUAUAUAUGCAGUACUGCAUUGAUAUAUUAUGUCAAUUAUAAGAUACGCAUUUGGAAAAAAUGAAAUAUAAAAUUCUCUGAUGAAAUUAAAUUGAAAUUCUAAUUUUUUUCUGCACUCUAGUAAAUUCUUUGUGUGUGCAUAUCUCUGAGAUGUGUGCACCUGACUUUGAAGAACACUGGUCUGUUUCAUGAUUUUUAUUCUAAAGAUGGAAAUAACACCAAAAAAAAAAAUCUAAAAGCAUUCUACUACACAUGGGUAUUAAAAUAUGCAUAGCAGUUACAUGUCAGUCCUUUUAAAGAACUGAAACUUAAAGACUAAGAUGAAAAAGGCCAAGACUUAGAGAGCUUCACGGUUUUCCAUUUUAAACCUGAUUAGGUCUAAUGUAUCAGAAAUGCAAAUGAAUUACAAUAGCAGACCAAGUACUAUGCAAUUUUUUUUUCUGCUAGAUAUUUUGUUGUUUAAAAAUCAGAAGGUUAAAAACUUUAAAAAGUAAUAACUAAAGAAACAAAACAAAGAAUGGGUAUAAAUGAUAUCAAUAGGUGAGUGGUGGUACCCUACGACAAACAGAUAUGUAGACUUGAGUUAAAAAACAAUCAAACCCUGAAACAUUCUGACUUUAUUAGAGAAAGACAAUUGCGUUUUUGCCUUGAUUUCAUAGAUUGUCGCUGUAGAAAGUUUUUUUUUUUAAUAGAAUAGACUUUUGCGUUUCAGAAAACAGGUGAUCCUGGUGGGUCAGGUGAUCCUGGUUGGUCAGUGAUCCUCAUGGGCGCAGGCACAGGCUGGCACACCGAGAGGUAAAACUCACCCCUAUGACUUGGGCAUGGGGAUCAGAUUUCAGAGAAUAAGGAUUAUGAGGCAGGCAGAGACCCCGGUAGGCACAUCUAGAGAACUUCUGUAAUUACAUGUGUACAAUGUUUUAGAUCAUUUUUGUAAGAUGUGUAUAGUGUGGUAUUGACAAGAAAGCUAGUUUGGAAGUUAGUAACAUCUGGAACCACUCGUCUAAGCAGUUUAUUCAUCUGUCUGAACCCUCUGCAAUUCAAACACAGAACAGGGUUCUUUUUCUCUAAGCACUAACUCUAAUCAUGCUCUCAAACCUCACAUGCUGCCUUUUUAUGAUUUUCUGGACAGGUGUAAUAACUUUGCAGACAUUUUUAGGGCAUUUAAAAGCCUCCGUUCAGUACAAUUUAAAUUUUAGUUUCAUAUCUGAUCUCAUGUUUCUGAUAAAUGGAUUAAUGUUUGUGGGUAAAAUUGUAAUAUUUUUAGAAUCUCUUGCCUGGCAUUAAUACAUCUCCAAAUCAUUAGGCGUUUCCAAGGGGUGGAGAGAAAUAGUCCAUCUCCGUAUCAAUAAGUGAUUACAAGGCAGGUGGGGAGCUAGGGCACACCUGUAUGGGAGAGGUUGGGUGGGGUCCUUUUGCAGAGGGGUCUCGAGAGACAGGGGUGAGCAGAAGUAGAUGACUGCUUGUACACAAUAAACAGUUUCUCCCACUUUAUUUGUCCCUAUGACUGAUUUUGGUUUCAAAGGUUACUGGCCCUGGGCUGGGAACAUAUUGCCCCCCCCACCCCAACCCCUGCAGUUACAAUGUUUCAUAAUCCAGUCUAAUGGCCAGGGUGGUUGGUGUCCAGGGUCUUGGAGAAGGGGUGUGUGUGUGUGACUGCCUCCUGAUGCCUCCUUCCUCCUGCUUUUAGGUCUCUGGGUCCUCUUCUGAGUUGGAGGCUUAGAGGAGGGAGGUGGGAAGGGGGGCCUUUUUAAAUGAGGGCUCCUGCAGUCUGCUCUGGUGGUGGGCACUGCUCUCUGCAUGACAGUUACGCAAAGACGAGCUCUCUCUUCGGAUGCCUCUGGAAGCAUCUCUGAGGGCCCAGGCCUCCCGCUGCCCUGUUCCCCAUCAGAGAUCUGACUUCACCUCUUGCUCCCCUGACCCCUUCACUCUCAUUCCCAGAGGCUCACCUCACAGUCCCCUUGCCCUUUUGGCAGCUGUCUUGGGUGGAGAACCAGCAGGAAUGCUCAGCUCAGCUGUCUCCCGUGGGGUGCACUUGGCCCACAGGAAACCCAACAUCCAUGCUUAGCCAGCCACUCAUCUCUUUCCCAUCUGCCAUUUCUGUCCAAUUUAUUUUUUCCUGUCUAGGUGGUUGCAGGAUAGCUAAACAGACAUACAACCAUGAGAGGUGCCAGCUCCCCUUCCUAAGGCACCCACGAUUUCCACCAAGGAUUCUCUUUAAACCUCCCUCACUUGAGUUCAUUCAGGAGAAGAAACUACUUUCUUCUUCCUUCCAAGUAGGCAACUAAGUUGGUAAGUAGCAAUAAUUUCUUGUUUAAAAGUCCUUGUAUUAAUUACUUGCCUAUUAAUUGAAGCACAGUUUUGAAAGCCUUUUGCAGUUCACCUUUGGAAUGCAUUUUCUCUUUGCUUUGGUCCUUGGAAGUCUCUGAGUUGUUGAAUUUAUGACGCUCCUUGCUAGCACUUUACCGAGUGAGUCAGGGGUUCAGUCUGUAUUCACUGAGUCCAGAGGAAGUCAACACCUCCAUGGCUUAGGGGGUUGGGUUCUGCCAUAAUGAGGUGAGUGGAGGACCAUACAUAAUUUCUUUUUAUUUAAAAUUUAGGAAAUUAUAAAAGGGACCUAAUGAGUUAAUUUUUGCCCCACAGGAAGGCACCAUGUCAGAACCUGGAUCACGUGAUUCUACUGAUAACUCAACUCUGAAGGAUGCUUCAUUCCAGAAAUUGUAUCAUGUAAUAAGAGUGAAUUACAUGUAUAAAAGAGAAAUGGCUUCUUGGUGCUGCAAUGUUUGACUGCCUUUGUUGUCUGCAAUUCCUCAGAUAUGUUAGAUUAAGUCGACAUAAAGAGCUGUAGUUUUCUGAUGAGGACAUAGUCACCAUGUCAACUUCUCUUGCCUAAGUGCCAUUUUGAAGAUCAAGUUCUUGAAUUUCCCAGACUUUGGAUUAAGGAAAAACUCAAUUUCAGACAUAUCUUUCAUGGACUUCUACAAUAUAGCUUCUUAACUGAUUGUCCUGUAAUCACUCUUUGCUUUGAACUGUGCCUGUUGAUGGCCUGGUUAAGCCUGGAACAUUGGUCAGGAGAGAAUCUAGUGGAAAUACAGAAAUGGAAGCCUACCAGAUUCAGAGACAAACAGAUGCAGAAGAAUGAAUAGAUGUCUGGUGGGUGCUAGCUUGGCCUCACUGUCCUCACAUGCUGGCCCUCUCAUCUUCCUGGCCACUGGACCUGCUGACCAGCUGUGGCCCCUGGCCCACCAUCAGAUAUUUGACUCCAGAUGUGCAGAGCAGUGACUGCCAGAGGCCACUGCGCUCCUAAGACCCCACGGUUCCUCUCACAGCCCUGCUUCAGAGGCUGGCUGUGCUUGGCCUCUCAGCUCUUUCUGCAAGCUUUGCCUUUUCCACUGGAGUCAGUGCUUCCUGAGAGCUGGUUAAUGGCUCUGCUGUCCUCAGACUCUCUCUCCUAGACCUUUCCUUUCCCUAAUUCCCGCACAGUUGCAUAAACUCCAAUUCCUAUAGUACACCCUUAUUCCCAUUACAUGCAUAAUGGCUCUGCUUCUCCAACUAAAGCCAGCCUGAUACACUCCUGGGCUCAUCCAUUCCCUUUCCCAGGACGAAAUUCUUAUAGUGAAGAUGAACAUGUAGUGACUGAGCCCUCCCUUUCCCUGUUAAUCCUUGAUCCUCAUCAACUCUCUUUCAAAACUUCCACUUUGCACAAUUUUGAACUCUCUCUGGGUCCUGUCUGCUGUGGGCCUGGUUUGGCCACACCUGUAUACACACCUGUAUACUUCUGAGUGUGAGGCCUCUGCCCUGACACACUCUAACACAGCAGACUAGAGUUGAGGGUAGAGCAGAUCUUAAUUCAAAUUCUUGUUUUGCCCCUUUCUGUCUGGGACCUUGGGCAAGUCAUUGACAUUUGCAGGUACAGAUUCCUUACUGGCGAAAGCUGCCUUAUGGAGCUGGUGUGAGAAGUCAAUGCAAAGCUGUCCACAAGUUCACUUGCAUCCUCCUCUUCUUUGUUUUGUCACCAGCUCUCUACUGCCCUCCAAGAAGAAGAAGGAUGUGGCCUCAGUUUCUAGGCAUUUCAUUGCCUCUAGCACCAUGAUCCCAGUGGGAAGGGCCAUGUGUGAGCUGUGGGCUGAAGCACUGAGUGCUGGACAUAGGGGCAUCUCGAUUCAGAGGUGAAGGAAUACUCGACUGUUCAAUGUGGGUGAUUUUGCCUGUGAGUGAUGAUAUGAAGCCACAUUUAUAAAUAUUGUUGACAUUGAUGCUGAUUACAGAUUUGAAGAAUGGGUGAAAUGAGAGAUGUUUUAAAAAGGGACUUGACAAUAAAAGCAAUACUGAUUAUAGAUGCUUAUAUCCAUGGCUUAUUAUUUAUGCCUAAUAAUUAGCAUGCCACACAAUGGCAAUGAUGUGAGUUGUUAAAUAGAACACAGCACUAGCUCGUUUCGUUCAGUUGCAGCAAAGUUCUUUCCAUGAAUACUUGGCUAUUAAAGUUUGUGGUUGAGAUAGCAUUACUGAUCUGUAGUGAUCCUUUUUUACAUUUUAUCCCAUAAACAGUACUAUGGGACAGUUGUUUCCAUUUUUCUGGUAAGAAACUAAUGCUCAGGGACUAUAAAUAAAUGCUGACAUCGUAAAGAUAUAAAGUGGACUGAAAUAAUACUCCAUUCCAAGCCCUUAUUUGCACCUAAGAAGCAAAGCUGAUCUGUUUGAAGAUGUUUAGUGACACACAAAUAUGCCUUAAUUAACAGCAUGAAAAUGCGAAGAGAGAUGGAUUUGCCUCAUUAGUAUUUGCAGUCUAAGUGACUGCUCACUUGCCACUGGGGUCUGAUUUCCUCAGAUGUCUUUGUCUUUCGACAUUUAUGUACACCUGCACUUUGAAAUCUGUAGGC
Manis pentadactyla (Chinese pangolin) is the source of this 21022-nucleotide long non-coding RNA. RefSeq lists it as uncharacterized. The record is from RefSeq and is a predicted model, not a curated record. Lineage: Eukaryota; Metazoa; Chordata; Mammalia; Pholidota; Manidae. The transcript has 5 exons.